CCUGUGCAGGUGGUGGUGCCCUCUGCGCCUUCACUGGGGCCCAGCCAAGUAACUGAAUCCAGCCAGGAGCAAGGGCAGACGCUGGCACAGGUCCUGCCACUGUCCCCAACCUGGGUUUCAACACAGCUGAGGCCUGGCAUAGUCUUUCUGGGCGCCUCUGGCUGGCUCGGUCUGAAAGGCGCGGCCAGGUCACAGUCGGCACCAGAAGUUUGGCAGAUCUCAGUGAGGCGUUAGUUUGCAUUUCCUUGUGACGGGUUUUGACUGGAAUGCCAGGCUUAACGUUGCUCAGAAGUUGCUUCUAUGAGGACGUCUCCCAGCAGCUGUCAGUGUUUCCAAUGAGUCAUCGCCAGCCCCUGCAAUGAGCCUCUCAGGCUGGUAAGUUUUGUUUCAGAACCGCUUCCUCAAGCUUCUUUUGCCUUUAAAAGCUUCCUCUUGCCCCAGCCUCCCAGGGAAUGCCUGUGGUCUGUCAUGGCUCACACAUCCUGGUUGAUAAUCCACUGCUGUUCUCCACGGAAUGCCUUCAUUUUGAGAGCUGCUCGCUGCCUGUUGUGGUUUCAGUUGACGGCCCACCGCUGUGUGCAGAGUUCACCAGCCGCUGUGGUGUGCAGUGCAGCAGCUGACCUGCCUGCCUUGUGGUUUUCUAAUCCCAUUGAGGGGACGUCUUAGGUGUUCUCACCAAGAAUGCACAGCAACAGUGCUGGGUGGGCCACAUCCUCCCUCACGUUUGGUGCCACCAGUUUUAUAGAUUUUGGCUACUGUGGGUGUGUGUGGUGGUUUUUGUUGGUGUUUACGACGCAUCUUCCUGGUGCUCGAGUCUGUCGAGCACUUUUUCUUGUGUUUAUUUGCCAUCAUUUGGCGAAGUGUUCAAAUCCUUUGACCGUUGUUUCACCAAGUUGUUUUAUUAUGAAAUUUUAGGGGUUACUUAUUCUGGAUCUCAGCACUUGGAUAAAUAUUUGAGAAUAUUUUUUGCAGUAAGUGACAUCGUUUUAUGUGGAUGAACAGAAGAUUUUAAUUUUGAUAAAGUCUAAUGGAUAUAUGUGAUGUUAGUGUAAUUUGAAUGCAUACAUAUGUAUAUUUAAUGCAUUCUUUUAUGAUGAUUGUGCACUUCAUAUGAAAUGCGGCAACCUUGCCUUGCCAUCCCGGAGGCCUCUGCUUCUCUGAUCUGUGGGUGUCACAGGCACUUCACUUACUCACACCUUAUGGCACGGUUUCUUUUGCUCUAAGCCUGCACGUGUGUUUUAAAGGUAAUUUCUUCCGUUAGAGAAGUCGCGUAGGCUCACCCUGCUAUUUGCCAUUUCUGGAGCUCUUUAUCUCCUUCUUCAUAUCUGCAUUUCCCUCUGGAAUCAUUUCCAUUCAGCCUGAAGAACUCUUCUGCCUGGGACUCCACCUUCUUUUCUAGCAGCUGGGCUCAUUGGGAGCUCUGUCCUCUGGUGGCUCUGGCCAGGGGACGCUGGGUUUUCUCUUAGGGUUUCAGUUGGCCCGUGUGGUGCCAAUGUCAACGUGUCUGUAGGCCAGAGCCAGCAAUGAGCACCCCCUCGGUCUGGCCCUGAGCUCCAAGGCCCCACUCCCACGGGAUCUUGCUGCCAGGACCCCACUCUCUGCAUCUUGUCCAGAGUGUCGAGGAGGGCAGGGUCCAGCGGGAUCUCUCGGCCCUCCCAGGGCUGAGUCUGUGCUCUGACCUUUCCUGGGAGGCACUCAGGGCCAACAGAGCAACAAGGGGCCUUUCCCUGUGGCUCCCUCCCCUCUGGAGAAAAUGGGUCAGACCUGGGUUUCUCCAUAGUCACUGUCCCUAAAAUGAAGCCGGGCUGCCAGAGGCGGUUGCAUCUCCCGGCACCAAGACCCCAGAGUCCCUGUGAGAAAGAGGACCAACGACGAUGGAAGCCUUUCUCUAAUGUGCGCACAGCCAGGCCGCUCCUCUGAAGGCGCUGAGCCGCCUCUAAUCACAGCGCCACACUGGCCACAGGUCGCUGGGUAUAGGAUGAACCCAGCUGUGAAUAGGAUGCAUUUCCUGGGAGGUUUCUGUGAAGUUACUGAACUGCCAAAAGGUAAGCAGUUUUAAUUGAUUUGUGAGUCUUCAAUUAAGCACAGCAGAAUGCUAAUUAAAUAUUCUCUGUUCUUUAAAUAGAGAAUGCUUUAAAUAAUUCAGCACAAUCUUUGCAUAAAUCACACCAUUCAGCUGAGGUGCCUGUCAGCAGUCAAGUGAUUGAGAGCACAAACUGUCCCAAAGACACAGCCCCCUUCCCCCUGGAGACGCGCACAGCCUGCAGAAGAGAUGUCACCUGAUGCAGCGUUGUGGUUUAAAAACUCAUUAUGGGAAGCAUGAGGCUGGACCCAGGGGACCCUGGAGGUGAUGCAGGGGCUUUGGCAGCCUGGAAGCUGUUGGAGGAGGGGCCCUUGGUGGAAGUGGGGACAGUUUGAGCCUCCGGCCUCCAAUUCCCUCCCGCUGGCUUCUGGGCCGCACCUCCAGGAAUCCAGCUAGACCCGCAGGGCUCUGACUCCAGACUUUAUUAAAUGUUUCCUCUAACGGUUCUGGCCAUUCUGCUGGGCCAUUAAAGGCUACCCCAGGGCCUCAGAUAUGAGCGUGGUGUCUGUAUGUGGUCCUUUCAUGGAGGGCAGGAAGCAUCAUAAUUACUUUUUUUUUUAACGGUUUUCAAUUUGUGUUGACAAAGAGCCUUAGUGAAUCUGUUGGAAGAAGAGUGACUUCAAAAUGAACCUGACUCCCUGUAUGUUAGGAGUCCAUAUUCUCUGAUACAGUUAACGUUUUCCUUCCAACCUCUUCACUGUUCAAGCAAAGUGGUAUUUUAGCUAUUCACUGUUUGACACUUUAAUAGGAGUUUUGAUGAGCAAUUUCAGGAUGUGGAAUUGCUACACUGCACCAGGUUCCUGCAGGAGCAGCAGCCUCAGCCUGUGGAUGGGACGUGAGAUCUUGGUGUUUCUCCUGGAGGAAACGCUGUGCUGCUGUGUUGAUGACGGGGCGUGUGUGGGGUUGAUGAUGGGUGAUGGAGUGUGGGGUUGGUGACAGGUGACGGAGUGUGGGGUUGAUGACGGGGCGUGGGGUUGAUGAUGGAGUGUGGGGAUGAUGACGGGUGACCGAGU
RNAcentral lists this long non-coding RNA (3096 nucleotides) under Homo sapiens (human). RNAcentral describes it as "HSALNT0309906". Lineage: Eukaryota; Metazoa; Chordata; Mammalia; Primates; Hominidae. The record is from RNAcentral.